RNAcentral lists this ribosomal RNA (860 nucleotides) under Gammarus sichuanensis. RNAcentral describes it as "partial 16S ribosomal RNA". The stretch from base 564 to 860 matches the Rfam family "Bacterial large subunit ribosomal RNA", at positions 2046 to 2593 of the family's 2925-position model. The record is from RNAcentral. Lineage: Eukaryota; Metazoa; Arthropoda; Malacostraca; Amphipoda; Gammaridae.
GGUAAGAAAAUUUUAUGGUUGUACCUUUUGUAUCAGGGAAGUUUAAAAGUGUAUAAAGGCUAUAGUCGAUUUUACCGGAUUUUCUUGUUUAGCUAUUAGUUAAAUUUAAUAGUUAAAUCUGUUAAGAGGUGAAAAGUGUACGGCGGUGUUGGUAUCUAAUUGUUUAUGAAUUUUAUGAGGAUAAGCUUCUAAAAUUUUAUGUUUUAUUGUAGUCAUAAAAACUAGGCUUUAAAUUAGUCAUGUUUGUAUGUUGUUUUAAAUAAUUUUUUGGAGAGUGUUAAUAAAUGUAAAGUUAAUCAGACUAUAUUAAAACUUAUUAGUUAGUUAAAAAUAAUGAAUUUAUUGAAUAAUAAAUGGAGUUUUUAAAUAACUAAGUUCAAGUUAGAUGGUUUAGCAAAAACAUUUCUGUUUGGUUUGUAAAAAGUAAGGCCUGCCCGGUGUAAUUUUAACGGCUGCGGUAUUUUGACCGUGCUAAGGUAGCAUAAUCAUUUGUUUCUUAAUUGGUAACCGGAAUGAAAGGUUAAACUAGUUUGUUAAGUUUGUUUAACUAAAUAAGAGAUUUAAGUAAAGGUAAGAAUUCUUUUAUUUUCUAGGGGACGAUAAGACCCUAGAAGCUUAAUAAAAAGGUUUGUUUUUAGUAGUGGCAGUUUAUUUGUUUUACUGGGGCGGUAUGGGUAUAUAAACUACACAAGUUUUGAGAGAUCUUUUACAUAAAAAUAAAAUGGUAAAGUUACUCUAGGGAUAACAGUACAAUAUAUUUGGAGAGACCCUAUCGAUAAAUAUGUUUGUAACCUCGAUGUUGAAUUAAAAUAUCUACGUAGGGCAGAUAACUCAAUAGAAGGUUUGUUCAACCUUUAAAU